This 265-nucleotide ribosomal RNA is filed under the name uncultured archaeon. RNAcentral's name for it is "partial 16S ribosomal RNA". It matches the Rfam family "Archaeal small subunit ribosomal RNA", at positions 718 to 982 of the family's 1478-position model. The record is from RNAcentral.
AGUCACUGACAUUAGAUACCCCGGUAGUCCAGGGUGUAAACGCUGCAGACUUGGUGUUGGAGGCCCUUUGGGGGCAUUCAGUGCCGGAGAGAAGUUGUUAAGUCUGCCGCCUGGGAAGUACGGUCGCAAGGCUGAAACUUAAAGGAAUUGGCGGGGGAGCACCGCAACGGGAGGAGCGUGCGGUUCAAUUGGAUUCAACGCCGAAAAACUCACCAGGAGCGACGGAUAUAUGAAGGUCAAGCUGAUGACUUUACCUGAUUUUCCG